RNAcentral lists this ribosomal RNA (651 nucleotides) under uncultured bacterium. RNAcentral's name for it is "bacterial SSU rRNA". It matches the Rfam family "Bacterial small subunit ribosomal RNA", at positions 53 to 690 of the family's 1533-position model. The record is from RNAcentral.
ACAUGCAGUCGAGCGGCAGCGCGGGGCACCUUGGCGGCGAGCGGCGAACGGGUGAGUAAUACAUCGGAACAUGUCCAUUUGUGGGGGAUCAGCCCGGCGAAAAGCCGGGGAUUAGUACCGCAUACGCCCUACGGGGGAAAGCGGGGGACUUCGCAAGAGGCCUCGCGCGAAUGGGUUGGCCGAUGUCCGAUUAGCUAGUUGGUGGGGUAAAGGCUUACCAAGGCGAUGAUCGGUAGCUGGUCUGAGAGGAUGAUCAGCCACACUGGGACUGAGACAAGGGCCAGACUCCUACGGGAGGCAGCAGUGGGGAAUUUUCAGACAAUGGGGGCAAACCCUGAUCCAGCCAUUCCGCGUGAGUGAAGAAGGCCUUCGGGUUGUAAAGCUCUUUUGUCCGGAACGAAACGGGUUGCGUGAAUAGCGCCGCCUACUGACGGUACCGGAAGAAUAAGCACCGGCUAACUACGUGCCAGCAGCCGGGGUAAUACGUAGGAUGCGAGCGUUAAUCGGAAUUACCUGGGCGUUAAAGCGUGCGCAGGCGGUUUGUAAGCCAGAUGUGAAAGCCCCGGGGCUUAACCUGGGAAUGGCAUUUGGGACUGCAAGGCUUGAGUGCGGCAGAGGAGACUGGAACUCCUGGUGUCACAGUGAAAUGCG